GCAUUAAUGGGGUAGUGGUAACCUGGGUCGUUGCCAUCCUCUCUCUCGACCCGCCGGGGGUUCGAUUCCCCCUUAAUGCA
This is a non-coding RNA of Tephrocybe sp. NHM501043, 80 nucleotides long. The record is from the annotation of a GenBank genome assembly. Lineage: Eukaryota; Fungi; Basidiomycota; Agaricomycetes; Agaricales; Lyophyllaceae.